AGAUAAUCAAUGUUAUGUCAUUUCCUCUACAAUUAAUAGAAGAAAUGAAUUCAAAACUGAUCAAUAUCCUAUUGUCAAAAAUUUUAGAAUAUUACUUAAGAAAAGUUUAUCAAAAGAUUAGAUAGAAUCUCUUUGGGAAGAAUUUUAUGCAUGCUCGGAAGAUUUAAGUUUUUACGAGUAGGCAUAUUUCAAAGUUUACCACAAAAAAAAAAAAACCAUUAAAGAAAAAGAAAAAGAAAAGAAAAAAAAUAUUCAAAAUACAAAUGUUUUAAAAAAGACUUGAAAAACACCUGUUGGUGAUACUUUUCAAACUAUUCAUCAUUCUAUGUAAGAAAUUGUUGUUUCUCAAGGAAACAUAGAGAUUCUUGUCUCUCCUCCCAAGAAAAUAUCUUCUAAACAACCAGAUGAAUUUUGAAGUCGUUGCAAAAGAUAUUAAAACUAUUCAAGCCCAGAAUAAUUAUACCAAUAUUGUUCUACAAUCAAUGUGCUCUCAACUCAACAGAAUUGAGAUUAAUUUGGAUUCUAAAGCAUCUUGUUUCAAAUAUGUUGAAAAGAGAAAAUCAAUCAAUUCUUUAUUCAAACCUUAUAAUCCUAAUAUGGCUCCUCAAAUAGGAAACGAAUAUCUCCCUACAGAGGCAAAAGUCCUUUAGGAACUUGCUACUCAAAUAUCUAAAUUAUC
This 679-nucleotide long non-coding RNA is filed under the name Olea europaea (common olive). Its description in RNAcentral is "long non-coding RNA (OEUR_LNC014070)". The record is from RNAcentral. Lineage: Eukaryota; Viridiplantae; Streptophyta; Magnoliopsida; Lamiales; Oleaceae.